CCUACGGGGGGCAGCAGUGGGGGAUAUUGGACAAUGGGGGGAACCCUGAUCCAGCGACGCCGCGUGAGUGAAGAAGUAUUUCGGUAUGUAAAGCUCUGUCAGCAGGGAAGAAAGAAAUGACGGUACCUGACCAAGAAGCCCCGGCUAACUACGUGCCAGCAGCCGCGGUAAUACGUAGGGGGCAAGCGUUAUCCGGAAUUACGGGGGGUAAAGGGCGCGUAGAUGGUUAAGUAAAGCUGGAGGGAAAGGCCAGGGCCCAAACCCGUGACAGCUCUGGAAACUAUUGAACUUGAGUGCAGGAGAGGAAAGCGGAAUUCCUAGUGUAGCGGUGAAAUGCGUAGAUAUUAGGAGGAACACCAGUGGCGAAGGCGGCUGACUGGACUGUAACUGACGUUGAGGCACGAAAGCGUGGGGAGCAAACAGGAUUAGAUACCCCUGUAGUC
RNAcentral lists this ribosomal RNA (443 nucleotides) under uncultured bacterium. RNAcentral describes it as "partial 16S ribosomal RNA". It matches the Rfam family "Bacterial small subunit ribosomal RNA", at positions 338 to 795 of the family's 1533-position model. The record is from RNAcentral.